RNAcentral lists this ribosomal RNA (472 nucleotides) under uncultured bacterium. Its description in RNAcentral is "bacterial SSU rRNA". It matches the Rfam family "Bacterial small subunit ribosomal RNA", at positions 335 to 800 of the family's 1533-position model. The record is from RNAcentral.
ACUCCUCGGGAGGCAGCAGUGGGGAAUAUUGCACAAUGGGCGCAAGCCUGAUGCAGCCAUGCCGCGUGUAUGAAGAAGGCCUUCGGGUUGUAAAGUACUUUCAGCAGUGAGGAAGGUGGGUAUGUUAAUAGCAUACUCAUUUGACGUUAGCUGCAGAAGAAGCACCGGCUAACUCCGUGCCAGCAGCCGCGGUAAUACGGAGGGUGCGAGCGUUAAUCGGAAUUACUGGGCGUAAAGCGCAUGCAGGUGGUUUGUUAAGUCAGAUGUGAAAGCCCGGGGCUCAACCUCGGAAUUGCAUUUGAAACUGGCAAACUAGAGUACUGUAGAGGGGGGUAGAAUUUNAGGUGUAGCGGUGAAAUGCGUAGAGAUCUGAAGGAAUACCGGUGGCGAAGGCGGCCCCCUGGACAGAUACUGACACUCAGAUGCGAAAGCGUGGGGAGCAAACAGGAUUAGAUACCCUCGUAGGCUCUGC